GGGUGGCCAGCCUCUCAGGGAGAGUAUGAUGUGCUCUACCUGGGGACAGAGGAUGGACACCUCCACAGAGCUGUGCGGACUGGAGCCAAGCUCAGCGUCCUUGAGGAUCUGGCCUUAUUCCCAGAGCCACAGCCAGUUGAGAAUAUGAAAUUGUAUCAAAGCUGGCUCCUGGUUGGCUCCCGUCCUGAGGUAACACAAAUGAACACAACCAACUGUGGACGUCUCCAGAGCUGCCCAGAGUGCCUCCUGGCCCAAGACGCUGUCUGUGCCUGGAGCUUCCGGCUAGCUGUGUGUGUGGCCCAUGCUGGGGAGCAUGGAGGGCUGGUCCAAGACAUAGAGUCAGCGGAUGUCUCUUCUUUGUGUCCUAAAGAGCCUGGAGAACUCCCAGUAGUGUUUGAAGUUCCUGUGGCUACAGCUGCGCAUGUGGUCUUGCCAUGUUCCCCAAGCUCAGCCUGGGCAUCCUGUGUGUGGCACCAGCCCAGUGGAGUGACUGCUUUUACCCCCCGGAGGGAUGGGUUAGAGGUGGUGGUAACCCCAGGGGCCAUGGGUGCGUACGCUUGUGAAUGUCAAGAGGGUGGGGCAGCCCAUGUGGUAGCAGCUGAUAGCUUGGUAUGGGGCAGCCAGCAGGGCCCCUCAAGCUGGGCCCACACUGUGGGGGCUGGACUGGCUGGCUUCUUUCUGGGGGUUCUUGCAGCAUCCCUGACUCUCCUCCUGAUUGGUCGACGUCAGCAGCAACAGUAACAGAGGGAACUUCUGGCUAGAGACAACGUGGGCUCGGACCUGGGGGCACCGCCAUCUGGGACCACAAGCUACUGCCAGGAUCCUCCCUCUCCCUCUCCCUCUCCUGAAGAUGAGCGGCUGCCCCUGGCUCUAGGCAAGAGGGGCAGUGGCUUUGGUGGCUUCCCUCUACCUUUUCUGCUUGACUCUUGCCCAAGCCCAGCCCAUAUUCGGUUAACUGGGGCUGCUCUGGCCACAUGUGAUGAAACAUCC
This is an RNA transcript of Myotis lucifugus (little brown bat), 990 nucleotides long. It is a transcript of the gene named semaphorin-4F pseudogene, with no coding region annotated. The transcript has a single exon. NCBI's taxonomy places the organism in Eukaryota, Metazoa, Chordata, Mammalia, Chiroptera, Vespertilionidae. The record is from RefSeq and is a predicted model, not a curated record.